AUACAAUGCUUGGCCAAUCUAGACUUCUUGGAUCCAUAUCCAAAAGAGGUUUCUUGGAUAGUCCAACUGCCAGUCUCUGAUGAGAACACGCGCAAUCUUUGGGGGGGCUUGGGCUCUGAAUAAUCAAAGCAAACAACUCUGUAGUGAGGUGAUUUGAAAGGAUCAAAUGCCAGGGAUGCAGAACAUAUGUUUUCAAGCGUAAAAUCUCUAGGAAUCACCACACACUGUUUUGUCACAGGAUUGCACACAUAGUACUGCGGAAUAGAACCCUCAACAAACAAAAGCAAACCAUUGCAACAAUCAAGGAAAUCACCCCGGGCAGGUUCAAAAGGCAACAGCGAAGAAUAGGAUUUGACAAAUUCAUGUGGUUCCGGUGCAACUGCUGGAGUCAUGGCGCAGGGGAUAUAAUCAAUGUAUGUUUUCCUGCUACUGACCCUCAACGCAUGGUAAAUAAAGCCAUGAAGAGGUGAGGAAGCUGAGAUUUUUGGAACACAAGCAUCAGUAAUCAGAUUGUUCCAACAUUUGCAAACACUUUUAAGUCUAAUGAGAUGCUUGCCAUCAGUAACCCGACAGAGGAUUUCAACCAGCACAUCAUCUGGUAAACUUGAACAAAGAAAACUAGCACAGCUGCAGUUCUUGCUCUCACCUGCUUUUCCAUCUAAAGAGGUAGCCAUCAGUCCCCCUCUGCAAAGGGAAAACAAAAAAGAAGAAGAAAUUAGCCCCGUGACUACUCUUACCGUUUCUGACUUAUCAGAUGCAAUUUGGGAAUCCAUCCUCUUCAGAAAUAAUUAACAUAGUCCUCCUCUUUGCCAAAAAAAAAAUAUAUAUAUAUAUAUAUAUAUAUAUAUAUAUAUAUAUAUAUAUAGUAACUUGUUUCAGAGAUUUAAAUUAGGGUUUUCAUGAUUGAAAACAAAAAAUGCUGAAAAUCACAAAAUUAAAAACACUAACAUUACCUAACAUGGAAAAUAAAACAGCAGAAUUAAUUAAAUAUACAAAACGAUGGUAGAGAUAAAUAGUUUUUUAAAUUAAUUAAGGAAACCAAAACUUGAUCAGCAGAAAACAAUAGAUAACUCAUUGCACUUAAUCAAUUUGACAAGCAAAGGGAAACCAAGAGGAAAAGAAAAGAAAUUAGCCACAUCCUGUUUCUGACUUAUCAGAUGCAAUUUGAGAAUCCAUCCUCUUCAAAAACAAUUAACACCGCAAAAAUCCCUCCUCUUCGCCAGAAAAAAACCUAAAGUAUAACUUUUGAGAUCAGAAGGUGAUAAUUUAUUUCAGAGAUUUAAAAUAGGUUUUUCAUUCAUGAUUGAAAACAAAAGCGUGCUGAAAAUCACAAAACGAAAAACACAACGUUAAUAAAUAUACAAAACGAUGGUAGAGAUGAAUAAUUUUCUAAAUUAAUUGAAGAAACCAAAAAAAAAUGAUCAGCAGAAAAUAAUAGCAAUAGAUAACUUAUUGCAAAAAUUUAGGGUAAACAAGGUAAAUUAGCUUACUGUAUUGUCUCUCUCUGAUUUAUCAGAUGCAUGCAGUUGUCGGAUCACCAGUAACUAAAAAUAAUAUAAAUAUAAUUAAGAAGGUAAAUAAGAUCACAAAAGAAAACUUAGUUUGCAAGAAAUUAGGGUUUCAAGUGAUUUCUCGUCUAUUUAAACCUUUUUUGAUGCCACCAGCCCAUCUAGAGAAAUUGCUAAUAAGGGCUCAACUAUUGGGUCUUAGUUCGAUUAAGAUCUGGGCUAAUAAGUUGUGCUCAAUUAAAAAAAAUUAACUACCCAUAUUUCUUAAACCAUCUUAGAUAUUUUUUUAAAACAAAAAAAAAAGUAGAAAAAUAGAAAAUUCUAAUAACUUUUAAAAAUAAUUUCAGAGAGAAAAAUAGGGUAAAGUUGUGAGAUUUUCAAAAACACUGAAUUAUCCAAAAUUUUAAAAGAUAAUAAAUAAUUCAUGGAUGUAUAAGUAAUUUGUUGUUAGAUAGGAAAAGAAAGAAGAUGUAUUGGGUUAAAAAGAUAUUUAAAUUAUUUUUUAUUUUAAUUUUAUAAGAUUUAAAUUGCAAAAUAAAACAGAUAAUUUUUUUAAAAAUAAAAAUCAUCAAAUUUUGCUAUUUUUACCCACACUUGUCGUUAUGAAAAGUGACGCAAAUCCUCAAAUAAGCCGAAUACAUACAUUCUCAACCACCAAUAUAUAUAAGUUUUUUGUUCUUGCUAGUUAGAGCUAGUUAAUUUUUAAAAAAUAUAUCAAAUUAGUAUAAAAAAUAUAAUUUAAUCUUGAUUAGCAAUAUAUUUUAAUCACUAUUCAAUUUUCAAUGGUUUUAAAAUGAUAUUGUAGAUUUUUAUGAUGAUGUUACUACUUUUUUUAAUUGCUAUGUACCUACUACAAAAACAAACUCAUUGAUAUUUAAUUAAGAAAAUACUUUUAAAUUUUUAUUUUAAUAUCAUGAUGGGUUUUUGUUUAAAAAAUAAUAUUUGCAGUUAAAAAUGCACUUUUUCACUAAAACAAUUUGAGAGAUGCAUUGACAAAAAAAAAAAAAAAGGUUUAGAUUGAAGAAAUAUAUUUUUCUACUUAUUUUAAACAAUUUGAAUUCCUAAAGAAAACCUCUAUUUCUAUUGUCAUUGUCUUUUAUUAUAAAAAUAUGGGCUUGGUGAAGAAAUAUGAUGUUGUUUUUUAAAAUAUCAAUAUUUUUUUAUGUUUAUAGAUUAUUAUGUAUUAAUCUGAUAUAUAGAAUUAAUUUCUACUAUGGUUUGCUCACUAAUAUUGAAUAAAAAUAGAAUACACAUGUAUAAUUUUUAUAUUUUCCAUCCUGAAUUGUUUAUAUUUUUUUUCAAACUCAUUUUUUAUGCUAUCAUGGAUACAUGUUUGAUUUAUGCAUUUUUAAUUGAAGAUGCACUAUUUUCUUUUUAUGUCAAAUUGAUAUAUUUCAUCGAUUUUUUUAAUCUAUUGCUAUUGUUUUUGUUCAUUAAUCCAUGUUGUUAUUAAAAAAAAAAACCUAUAGAUGUAAAAACAAAAAAUACAAGAAUAAUAAAAUAUAAUUUAGACAAGAAAAUACAUUUAUUUACUGUCAUUCUUGUAAAUGUAUAUCUCUACAAUUGAUUAACUAAAUAAAAAUAUGUUUUAUAAAGCAAGAUUAUUAAACCCCGUUAGUGUCAUAACCUAUACCAUGGGCUAGGUUGGUUUACCUAGUUUGAAAGAGGUUAGCAAAAAAAAUCAUAAUUUUAUGUCUUUUUUUAUAAAAACAAUGUUAAAUAAGUGUUGUUUUACAAUAUUUUUUCUUAAAAAAUUCAAGAAGGUUUUUACCGAUUAUUGGGUGCAUCCACCAAGUUACUUGAGUUAUAUUUAAUCAGCUUCCAAAAAAUUUAUUUUGAAACUCGAUUUAAUACAAAAAUUAGAUUGAUAAGUCACUAUAUUAGAUCUUGUUUGUUUUUGUAUUUCAAAAGUGUUUUUAAAAAAAAUUAAAUUUUUUAAUUUUUUUCUUUACUUCAAAUAAUUUUUUGAUGUUUUCAAAUCAUUUUGGUGCGCUAAUAUCAAAAAUAAUUUUUAAAAAUAAUUUUUGUCAUUAGCGUAUUAAAAUGAUAUGAAAAUAUAAAAAAAUUAAUUUGAAAUAAAAAAAUAAAAAAAAUUAAAUUUUUUAAAAAUAUUUUAAAAAUGUAAAAAUAAAAUCCUCCUCUUUUAUUUUAUUUUAUUUUUUGCUUAAGUUUUACAAAUCAUAAACUUGUUACACAUGCAAGAAGUAUGAGAGACUUUUGUGAUUUCAUUUUGAAAAAGGAAGGUGGGAAAGGCAGACAGAAUUAUGGAUAUACUCAAGGAAAGGCCAAGGGGCAGCAGGGCCCCAAACAUUAAUCAUGACCGUUACCCAAUAAAAUCACCACCACGCUCAACUUCCUGAUGACGGUAGGUUGUGGAUACCCUAAUUCUAGUCCUACCUCACGGGAUCCAUCCCUUCUGUCCCCACAACUUCUUCUUCUUUUUUUUUUUUUUAAGAUUUUAAAGCCAUAAACAGCUUUAUAGCCGUCGAGGCUGAAAUCCUCUCCAUCUUUGUCAAAGAGAACAAAAAGGUGAAAAAUUUGUCUCAAUCCCUGCCCUAAUCUUGUCACCUAAACCUUCUUUACUCGGUUUCAAAUCUUCUUCUGCUUUCUUCUCCACUUCAAAUCUUGAAGACCCAAGUCUAGAGGGGCUGAAAAGAUGAAAGGAAUAAUGAAAGGGAAGUUGAUGAAGAAGCUGUUGUCAAUGAAGCCAACAGGGUACUUGAAGGAAACUAGAGUUCUCCACGUGAAUGCAGCAGAUGGGUUCAUUGAGACAUUGAUAACGAAGCCUAGUCUCGAAGCUCAGGUUGAAACCCCAGAGUUGAUGUUUUCAAGGUGGCGUAAAUGUUUGUAGGGCUGUUAGAAAUUUGAGAUUUUAAGGGUAUUGUUACCGUGAUGUAGAGAAGAUGUUUUGGACAGAGUUAGUACUCAGUACGCAGUAUGAAAGAUCAGAGAAAUGAAUCUUCUCAAUGAGACGAUCUCCUUGUAGGGCAGGGAAGGUGAACCCCAGAGAUCUCUAGAGAGAAUAGCUUGUGACCGCAGUAGACAGAGUUGUGAUGGAAAUGGAUGAAUGAAUGUUAUGUGUUUUCAUCAUAUCCAUUAAAUGUUUAAACUCUAAUCUACUGAUAUUUGUAACUGGCUUUGUAACAUGUUGUUUUGGAUUGGAUUGAGUAGCUUUGGUAAAGGUGAUUGGAAAAGCAUCUCAAGAAAUGUGGUCAUUACCAGAAAAAGUAGCUUGACAUACCCAGAAGCACUUCCUUCACACGCCAGAAUUCUGUGAAGAAAGAGAGGAAAUAAGCAUUGCUUUUGUAAUUGUAAAACCAUCCCACAUCGAGAACAAAAAAGAAUUAUCAGGUCAGUCUUGUUUAUAAAUAGGGAUCCGCAACCCCCCGUGUCUCCUUAUUCAGAGACAAAGCCAAUAGCAGCGCACUAGAGGUAAAUCUCUCUACUAGGUUCUUCAUUUAAUUACCCUGCUUUCAAUGCCUUAACACUACUUGGAGAAGAAGGCAAAUUAAUUAGAACAGGAUGACAAUUUGUUUUUAUAUUUGGUUGUUAUGAUCUGCUAGCUACUUGUUUGUUCCUUCCGAUAAUAAUAUAUAGAACCGUGAUAUGUUUGUAUGUUUUUCAAAUUUUAAUUAGAAACAAAAACUAAUCAAUUAGUAGAAUAUUUGCAUAAUUUUAUUUAUUUUCAUCAAUAAAUACGAUCCUGAGUUUGCCAAACAAUAUUAGCAUUCUCACUAUGCUUAGCUUGUUCUAUUUUACAUAUUAUCUUCUGUUUUCUUGUGCUGAUAAGAGGAUUAGUCUUCAGAAAAAUCACUAGAAUAAAAUACCUGCUUUCAAUGCUUUAAUACUCGGAGAAGAAGACAAAUUAAUUAGAACAAGAUGAUAGUUUGUUUUUAUAUUUGGUUGUUGAGUUCUGCUAGUUCCUUGUUCGUUCGAUAAUAUGAUAUAUAGAACCAUGACUUGUUUGUAUGUUUUUCAAAUUUUAAUCAGAAAUAAAAACUAAGCAAUUAGUAGAAUAUCUACAUAAUUUCGUCAAUAAAUACGAUCCUGAGUUUGCCAAACAAUAUUAGCAUUCUCACUGUUUUAUUCUAUGUAUUAUUUUCUAUUUUCUUGUACUGAUAAGAGAAUUAGUUUUCUUGUAUUAAUCAGUAGAAAAAUCAUUAGUAGUCCAGUGUCUUUAUCUCUAUGAUUCUGCUGGUGUUUUAUGCAGCAUCCUUCAAAAUAAAAGCAACCAGAUUUCAUAAAGAUUUUUAUAAAAUUAAAGGCAUUGGUUGGUAUUUUUUUCACUUUUAUUUUCAAUAAUACUUUGUUUUUUUAAAAAAUUUCAUUGGAUUUAUUUUAUUAAACAUUUCAGGAAAAGGGGCAUAUGGAACAGUUUUUUCAUGCAUGCAUAAGUUGGAUGGACAAGCAUAUGCUGUAAAAGUUGUAAAAUUUAAUAGACAUAAUGAUCAAGAUAAGGUGUUAAGAGAAGUAAAAGCCUUGGCUAAAUGCAACCACAGCAACGUGGUAAGAUAUUUCAAUACAUGGAUUGAAUGGAUGGUGGUACAGUCUUCUGAUGAAGAUAAAGAUUAUGAUAAAGGAGGUAAUGAUGGUGCUUUUUCUAAAAGUUUGGAUGCUAUGCUUUCCAUACAGAUGAAACAUUAUCAUCAGUAAGUAAAUUUUUAAUACUUAAACCGUUAAAUUUUGUUUUAGAACCGUGGUUCUUUAUUUUAAAAAACUUACUCUUCCAUAGGAAUCUUGACAAUGUACUGGAGCAAUCAACCAUAACUGAGAAUACAGCUCUGAAGUACUUUCAAGGGAUGGUGAAAGGUCUGGACCACAUACAUGGGAAGAAAAUAAUCCAUGGGGAUCUGUCAAGGAAAAACAUCUUCAUUGACGCUAACAACGUGAUCAAGGUGGCUGACUUCGGCUUAGGUAUAGGUUUCCUUUUCAAGUUAAUAAAUUUUUAGGUUUAGAUUCAUUGUUACCUUUUAACUAAAAAACUUUUGUUUGCAGCCAAACUAUUGGGCAAUUCUGCUACUGCUAUUAAAUCUGGAAGUUCCGGCACAAAGUCUUAUCUUGCUCCAGAAACAGAAAAGGGGGCUCCCAUCGACCAAAAAGUGGACAUAUAUAGUCUUGGUAUCCUGUUUUUGGAGUUGCUCGGGAGCUUCACCACGAUGUCUGCGCGGGCCCAUGCCAUUAACAAUCUGCGAGAAAUGAGAGUGUUGCCUGAGAGCAUAUCCACAUAUGAAGAUUACAUCUUACAAUUGGUGGCAUUUUCUCCCGAAGAGAGGCCAUCGACUCAAGAGAUUCUCACAUGGCCAACAUGGGCUGAUGUUUCAUCUUCAGAGGCAGAGAAUGAUGACAGAGUCCCGAUACGGACUGGUGAUGACCACCAAGCAGCAGAUGAUGACAUGCCAAAGUUGGAAGAUGAUGAUGAUGAGAUGCCGAAGUUGGAAGAUGUUGAUGAUGAGAUGCCAAAUUUGGAAGAUGAUAAUAAGGUUAGGGUAUUAAGAAGAUUGAACUGUAUAUUUUGUUUGACACUAUUGAUUCCUCUUCUAAAUUAAUUAAUUUUUUUUUUGUUUCGAUUGCAGAAUCUGGAAGUCGAGAUCUAAUUGAUCAGGACAAAGACAGACUUGUCAUAUCUUUUACUAUACAUAUACAGACUUGUAUGUUUGUAUGGAGAAUCCUUUUGAUCUGGUAUCCAUUGUUUGGUGAAUAAUGAAUGCCUGUGAGUGUACAGUGACAUAUUCAUAGGUUUAAGUCUUUAGCAUAUGUUUUGAACUCUAGUGAGGUGAUUUGGAAGGAUCAAAUGUCUUGAUGGUGAACUUUCAAUUGUUGAUUGAGAACAAUGGUACGGUAGAGAAUGUGAACUUCCAAUUAUUGAUUGAAGAACAAUGGUACGAUACAGAACGCAGCCACGAAACCAAUGGUGGUUUGCGUGUAACAUUAUCAGAUUUAGCAACCUGUCGCUUAGGACCGCAGUCUGUCCUCCAUUCGAGAACAACAACUUCAAGUCUGGUAAUACCCGGAACCAAGAAAAUGACAACACCAUCAAUGCUUAAAGGUCAGAACAUGGCUUGCAAAGCGAAGCAGCUUAACAAAUGUUCCAAAUAGAGAUCAGACACGAAGUAACAUGGAAAAUGUAACAAAAAGAUCAUUGAUUUCAAGUUAACUGAGACAAAAUAUGGAGAAAGCAAGUAAAAUAAGGAAAACCAUCUUGGAAAAAGGAGGGGAAGGAAGAAAAACUUGUUGCCUUGGUGAUUCUUAAUUUGAGAAAUGAGAACUCUAAAAUUGUUACAAGACAAAAACCCAUUAAGUAUCUUCUCUCUGCCCUGGGAAAAAGAAGUUGGAAUUCAAGUUCAAGAAGCUGUGUGGCUGUAAUGGACUGGUUGUUGCCUUGAAAUUCAGAAACCCUUACAAUCCAACUGCCAACGAAGGAGAUCAAGAAUCCUUUUAAUCUCGUAAAAUUGUUGGUUUGAUUCUACUGGACCAAGAACCAAUCUUGUAAAACCCUGACCCACUCCUCCACACACACACACACACACACACACACAAAUUAACUGAAUAACCAAAACUUCUACAGCUUGAAUUGUAGGAGACUACGGUAGAUAAUAAUGUUCCAUCAAUAGCAUAAAUGGUAUUAAAAGAAAACGAGGAUACAGAAAAAUAUCAUCUAGUGAGACAAAAGAAGUGGGCUGGCUACUCAUGGCUGGCUCAAACUGCAAUCCAAUUGACCAAAAUCUUUCAAAUUCACCAGGCAUGGUGUGUAUGGAAAGACCGAGAUCUGCCCCUUCAUUAUUUGCCUGUCUUUCUUUGUUCUAUAAAUCAAUUCCACCCUUCUGUCUUCGGGAUGAUAACUGAGCAUAGCACCCCGAGUCCCAAGGAAGAUAACUUCAGAAGUUGGAUGCAAAGCAAAGGGCCUCAAAGCUGAAAUUUUACCAAAUCUGGCAAUAGUAAUCCUAUCCAGCCGAUGCACGUGUUUUCCCAAAAAAUCAACUUUGAUGUUGUGAAUCAGAGUCCAUCUGCCAUUCUUGCAACGAUCCUCAAGCAACCAAAAGUGUAAUGCAGUUCCAACAAGAUCGGAAUAACAUAAAUGGCGCCUCGACAGCCCAAUGCAUCCAUAAUCAUUGGGAGCAAGUCUCUCCUUCUCUGGAAGCUCAAUGGCACGAGAAUUUCCUCUGUUAAGAUCAAAACAUAAAAGUCGUUUUGAGUCAAUCUGUUUUGAGUCAAUCUGUUUUGAGGCAGUUUGACGGUACAACACUCCAUCCAAGUAAAUACAAUGCUUGGCCAAUCUAGACUUCUUAGAUCCAUAUCCAAAAGCGGUUUCUUGGAUAGUCCAACUGCCAGUCUCUGAUGAGAACACGCGUAAUUUUUGGGGGGGCUUGAGCUUUGAAUAAUCAAAGCAAACAACUCUGUAGUGAGGUGAUUUGAAAGGAUCAAAUGCCAGGGAUGCAGUACAUAUGUUUUCGAGCGUAAAAUCUCUAGGAAUCGCCACACACUGUUUUGUCACAGGAUUGCACACAUAGUAGCGCGGAAUAGGACCCUCAACAAACAAAAGCAAACCAUUGCA
RNAcentral lists this long non-coding RNA (9060 nucleotides) under Populus trichocarpa (black cottonwood). Its description in RNAcentral is "long non-coding RNA (PTRI_LNC002056)". Lineage: Eukaryota; Viridiplantae; Streptophyta; Magnoliopsida; Malpighiales; Salicaceae. The record is from RNAcentral.